CUUCUGUCUAUGUCACACACUAAGGAUGAGUUAAUGGAAAAUACUGGCUUUGAUAGAAGUGCAUUGUUUUGGUCAAAACAUCUAUCAGAACAGACAGAAGGUUUUGACAGUGCCAAAAAACAUUUAUAAACUUUCAAUUCAGUAAAGAAUUACUAGCUAUUUAACAUUCCAAUGGCUUACGUGGAUCCAAACUGACAACAGAAAAACUCAAUGACAGGUCGAGUUACGGCCUUCUAAUUAAGUUUUAGGAUUACAGUCAAACCUGAUUAAACUGGACCCUGAAUAAACCGGUUUCCUGUCCAUUCCGACCGAAAAUGAAAGACCCAUAUUUUUCCAUUCAAAGUCUUUGUUAAAAUACCCUUUGUAAACCAGACCC
RNAcentral lists this long non-coding RNA (376 nucleotides) under Mytilus galloprovincialis (Mediterranean mussel). The record is from RNAcentral. Lineage: Eukaryota; Metazoa; Mollusca; Bivalvia; Mytilida; Mytilidae.